GUUUUUUUUGUUCAUGAUACUAAAUUACUGAAUUUAAACCACACUUUAUCAUCACCCAUACAUAUUGCAUUCCUUUGAAUGGCAUUAUUUACCACGGGUACUUUUUUGAUAUAAUAUUUUUCAAGUAAUAAAAUGCAAAUGUAGGUAAUUCAGUAAGGGCAAAUAGCUGUUGCCUUAACCUCCAUAUUUUUUCUGUUUAUGUAGUGUGUACAUACACCUUAAAAUUCUGCUUUGUUGUGAUACCAUGGAUGGGCAAAGCAGCUGAACAAGGACUGGAGCAGCUCUCUGAAUGGCUGGACUGCUGAUAUACAGAAACGAUUGGAAACCUUGACAUUUCUUGGAGAACUUGACAGACACAAAUAACUGGAGGCUUAGUGAGACAUUUCUGAAGCUACUAACAGGCUCCUUUCUUUGGAAAACCGUUUGCUUACACGGUCACUAUAGCUGCUAAUGGCAUUGGAUCAGAACACAGGCUUGUGAAUGGCAAUGAGCUGUUGGUUCUUCUCUGCAGACAGGUGUUCUGUGCCCAUCCCCCUGGUUUUUGCUAUUUCCAGGAGUGGGGAACUGUUUAUAAUUCCUGUUACACUGAGCUGAAUGUUCUACAAAGUACAAUUUCAUUAGUCUUUGUACUUUUAUUGUUGUUCUGAUUGAUCUACGAUAACAUCUAAUGUGAUUCAGCACAAGGAACAUUGCAUUUAUUCAAUGUAAAGAAGAAGAAACUUCACACAAGAAACUUUUCCUGUUUUCCACUCAUCUUUCAAUUCUCUCUGGGAAUUGUAUAUGUUCAAUAUCUGUGUGUUGUUAAUGAGAAAAUUUGUGUGCAUGCCUUUGUUCUAGUGUUACAAUAGUCUUUUUAUGAUGGAAUACAAUGUGAGUAAUUUUUGUUUAUAAACCACAUUGCUUUUCAAUAAAUUGGAAAUGCAGUUUACA
Molecule: long non-coding RNA, 930 nt
Filed under: Cyanistes caeruleus (blue tit)
Lineage: Eukaryota; Metazoa; Chordata; Aves; Passeriformes; Paridae
Description: lncRNA (ENSCCEG00000014611.1)
Source: RNAcentral